RNAcentral lists this long non-coding RNA (2649 nucleotides) under Ananas comosus (pineapple). RNAcentral's name for it is "long non-coding RNA (ACOM_LNC016790)". Lineage: Eukaryota; Viridiplantae; Streptophyta; Magnoliopsida; Poales; Bromeliaceae. The record is from RNAcentral.
AUAGAGCAUCUCGGGGCAUAAUAGAGCAAUAUAAUAAGGUUUUACUCUUUGUUCGAUAGAAUGAGAAAAAGUACUCCUUACAAAGUUAUACUGUUAAGGCGCUACUGAAUAGUCUAAUGUUGUUCCGGUUUUGAUUCUUGUGAAAGUUGACAUCGAUUUGUUCCAAAUUUACACUCUCGGGGCAUAAUAGACCAAUAUAAUUAGGUUUACUCCUUGUUCGAUGGAAUGAGAAAAAGUACUCGUUGCAAAGUUAUACUGUUAGGGCGCAACUGAGUAGUCUAAUGUUGUUCCGAUUUUUGUUCUUCUGAACGUUGACAUCGAUUUGUUUCAANGUUAAUUAAGAGAAACCAUCUCUCUUUCUCUCUAGUAUCUCCGUUUCUCUCUCUCUCUCUUUUCUUCGAACGAGAGGUUCGGAGAGAGCCAAACCCGUGGUUUCUCUUUUCUCACGUUCAAGUGUAUAUAUAUAUAUAUAUAUAUCUCUCUCUCUCUCUCUCUCUCUCUCUCUCUCUCGUCCCGACGACACGAGAUCCCUCGUGCCUCCGGAGGCACGAGGACUCGGCAAAAGCUACUACCUCAAAGGCUUAGUUGCUAGCCGAGGCAAUUUGAACUAGAUCGCAUAAACUUCAAAGAUCUUUUAUUAAAAACACUAAAAAGCUAUAGUAAAUGGAUCGUUAGCUUUCCUAAGUUUUAGUUAUUAAAAAUUGCCAACUUUUAUUUUUAGGAUAUUUUUCACCACUAUAUCGUGAUUUUAAAAGCUAGUCUUUAUAACUAGAACAAUAUCUAUCAUAUUUCUGAGGAGAAAAUUGGAAUUGCUUGGUGGUGUAGCAAGCUUGGUGGAGAAGAAGGCUUGGAGUUGAAGCUUCAUCUUCAUCUUCUCCUUCCUUGGUCUAAGAGGAAACUUGAGAGGUUUUCUGACGCGCUGGCGAAGUCGGUUCGGCGAUACGACGAGGUUACGCGAAGAUAUUGAAGAAAAGGCCGAUUUCGGUACAGAUUGCCGCAGCUCGUGGCGUAAGCUCCCAAAAAUCACGAAACCGGAAUCGUAGCAUCGUGACAUCACCUAAAGUCUUGGAGCUAAAAAAGUCGGGGGCACGAAGGGUCGCGUGGAGCUCUCGGUGGGUUUGACCUCGCUACAAAUGAGAAAAUCUCAUUUAUGUGGAUUUAAGUAUCGUAAAAUGGAAAAUCACGCAUUUUAAUGAAAAAUGCAUUAUUUGUGAAUUUUAAAAUGCUUGAAAUGCUUAUGUUAUAUACAAUGCAUUUUCGGACCUCUAUGUAGUAGAGAGCUUGCAUGUAAGACUUAUGCAUGGGUUUAGCAUUCUAAUUGGGACUUGGAAUCAUGCUUCAUAUAGUAGACAUGACAAAUGUGUAAUAUGCCUUGGACAUAAAUCUCAUUUGGACAUAAGAGAAUACAUUAGGCCAUAAAGUGGUUUUGGACUUGAAUAACUUGUGAGUUAGGGAGCUAAUGUCGUAAUGCGACAUCGGGCUUGAGCUAUGAAUGAGCCUAGCAAAGUAAUGCCAUAGAGAGGCAUUAGGCUUGAAUGAUAUGUGAAUUGUAUAUGCAUGUUAAUAGUAUGAGAAUUAUGCUAAGUUGGUAGUUGCAUUGGAAAGUGUAUGCAUGUAGCAUUAUGAGAACUAUGCUAUGUUGAUAGUUGUAUACGGAUGCAUUGAAACCAUAUGCUAGUGGAUAGAUGCAUGUUAAUAUUUAUAUGCAUUGUGGAAUACAUGCUAGGUACAUAUUAGCAAUGUGAGAUCAUGCUAGAGAGCAUGCGAAUUAACCUAUUAUUGAUAGGGUAAGCUAAUGUCAUAAAGAGGCAUUGGGCUUGAAAUUUGUAAGGUACAGAACUUCUUAAAUUCUGAAGUUACGGUAGGAUGUAAUAGGUUUUACUCUUUGUUCGAUAGAAUGAGAAAAAGUACACGUUGCAAAGUUAUACUGUUAUGGCGCAACUGAGUAGUCUAAUGUUGUUCCGGUUUUGAUUCUUGUGAACGUUGAAAAUUCGUUCCAAAUUUACACUCUCGGGGCAUAAUAGAACUAUAUAAUUAGGUUUUACUCUUUGUUCGAUAGAAUGAGAAAAAGUACUCGUUUCAAAGUUAUACUGUUAGGGCGCAACAGAGUAGUCUAAUGUUGUUCUGGUUUUCGUUCUUGUGAACGUUGACAUCGAUUCGUUCCAAAUUUACACUCUAGGGGCAUAAUAGAACUAUAUAAUUAGGUUUUACCCUUUGUUCAAUAGAAUGAGAAAAAGUACUCGUUGCAAAGUUAUACUGUUUGGGCGCAACUGAGUAGUCUAAUUUUGUUCCUGUUUUUGUUUUUGUGAACGUUGACAUCGAUUCGUUCCAAAUUUACACUCUCGGGGCAUAAUAGAACAAUAUAAUUAGGUUUUACUCUUUGUUCGAUAGAAUGAGAAAAAGUACUUGUUGCAAAGUUAUACUGUUAAGGCGCAACUGAGUAGUCUAAUGUUGUUCCGAUUUUGGUUCUUGUGAAUGUUGACAUUGAUUCGUUCAAAAUUUACACUCUCGAGGUAUAAUAAAAUAAUAUAAUUAGGUUUUACUCUUUAUUCGAUAGAAUGAGAAAAAGUACUCGUCGCAAAGUUAUACUGUUAGGGGGCAACUGAGUAGUCUACUGUUGUUCCGAUUUUGGUUCUUGUGAACGUUGAC